Molecule: long non-coding RNA, 896 nt
Filed under: Linum usitatissimum (flax)
Lineage: Eukaryota; Viridiplantae; Streptophyta; Magnoliopsida; Malpighiales; Linaceae
Description: long non-coding RNA (LUSI_LNC002496)
Source: RNAcentral
GGAUGGCAUCUGGGUUGGCCCGCGAUGGGUAACCGUGGACUCUACCCGAAAUGUGGGCUUUUUGGCCCGGAUUUUGGACCCGGAAAUGGUUCGCGGGUAACCCGAAAACCGGCAGACACGGGUACCGGGUGGGGUUGGUUUUCGCGGAAUCCGGCCCGCGGCCAAACCGUUGGUUAACCGUGAUCUAAACGACCGCGUUUUGGCUUUGAUAUAUAAACCAAAAACGCGCAGCAGCUUCCCCUUCAGACUGAUUUCUGAAACCCUAGCCGUCGAAAUCCCCUUUUCUCUCAACUGAAACCCUUCUCCAUCGCGAUUUCCUCUCGAUGAAACCCUUCUCCGACGAAAAAUCGGACGAUUUCCCAUGAAAUCUCCGACGAAUUCGUUAAUUCCUUCCUCUGUUCUCUUGUUUUCAACACAUUUGACCUAUCAAUCCGACGAUUUCGUCGAUUACAACUCCCAAAAAUGAUUAUUUUCCGAUUAGGGUUCAUAUCUCCCCUGAUUCUUCGAUUAUUAUCUCAGAUAAGUCAUAUAAUAUCGAUGCAUGCACUUAUUCUUUCCUUCUUCUUCGUGUAUUAUGAGUUUCUCACAACUUGUCCUCUAUAUAUAGGGUCCCCUUUCUGUGUUGGGAGCAGUACCUUAACAUCGAGCCACAUGCAGACUCCUAGCAACGACCACUACUAAGAAAAAACAGAGAGUAAGUUGUUUAGGUUUUUGAUUCGUUUUUUCAUUGAGUCUGAAGGUUUGCUGCUGAAAUAAAGGGUUAAAACUCCAGUCCUUGACUCUUUGUGUUCGUGCAUGUGUAUUGUGUAGGUUUUGGAGCUGUCAAUCUGUGGACUGUGGCCAUCAUCAUCCAUCAAGUUUUGGUGCGAGUACUGUAGGGUUAGAACAAGGUAAGC